Molecule: ribosomal RNA, 773 nt
Filed under: uncultured Neocallimastigales
Lineage: Eukaryota; Fungi; Neocallimastigomycota; Neocallimastigomycetes; Neocallimastigales
Description: partial large subunit ribosomal RNA
Rfam family: Eukaryotic large subunit ribosomal RNA
Source: RNAcentral
CAGACGAUGCGUCAUGCAUAUCAAUAAGCGGAGGAAAAGAAACUAACAAGGAUUCCCCUAGUAACGGCGAGUGAAGCGGGAAGAGCUCAGAUUUGAAAUCUUAAAGGGUUUCCCUUUACGAAUUGUAGUUUAAAGAAGUGUUUUCUGUUGAGGUUUUGGUAAAAGUUCUUUGAAAUAGGACAUCAUAGAGGGUGAGAAUCCCGUAUUUGACCUUUACUUUCAACUUUGUGAUACACUUUCAAAGAGUCGGAUUGUUUGGGAAUGCAGUCCAAAAUGGGUGGUAAAUUUCAUCUAAAGCUAAAUAUUGGCGAGAGACCGAUAGCGAACAAGUACCGUGAGGGAAAGAUGAAAAGAACUUUGAAAAGAGAGUUAAACAGUACGUGAAAUUGUCAAAAGGGAAGCGUUUGACACCAGUGUUGUUUUUCUGAAAAUCAAUUAAAGAACUGUUUAUGCUAAGUUGUUUAGACUUUAUCAGCUAACUGUUUAGUUUUGAGCUUUUCUUUAAUGCACUUUUCAGUUAACAAGUCAACAUCAAUUUCUUUUGCUGUAAAAAAGCUUGAGGAAGGUGGCUUGAGAUUCGUCUUAAGUGUUUAUAGCCUCUUGCCUAUGCAGUCGGAGAGAUUGAGGUCUGCAGCGUAGAUCCUUCGGGGCUAAAUGCAUUUGUGCUAAGUUAUAGCAUUUUAUAGACAACUUGUUGACUAUGAUUUGUCUUGUAGCUUACUCGCUUAUGUUAUUUUACCUACGCUUAGGAUGUUGAGCGCAUGUCUCUCUCU